GAGUUUGAUCUUGGCUCAGAUUGAACGCUGGCGGAAUGCUUUACACAUGCAAGUCGAACGGCAGCACGGGGGCAACCCUGGUGGCGAGUGGCGAACGGGUGAGUAAUACAUCGGAACGUGCCCAGUCGUGGGGGAUAACGUAGCGAAAGCUACGCUAAUACCGCAUACGAACUCUGGUUGAAAGCGGGGAGUCGCAAGACCUCGCGCGAUUGGAGCGGCCGAUGGCAGAUUAGGUAGUUGGUGGGGUAAAGGCUCACCAAGCCGACGAUCUGUAGCUGGUCUGAGAGGACGACCAGCCACACUGGGACUGAGACACGGCCCA
This 322-nucleotide ribosomal RNA is filed under the name uncultured beta proteobacterium. Its description in RNAcentral is "bacterial SSU rRNA". It matches the Rfam family "Bacterial small subunit ribosomal RNA", at positions 9 to 333 of the family's 1533-position model. The record is from RNAcentral. Lineage: Bacteria; Pseudomonadati; Pseudomonadota; Betaproteobacteria.